UACGAAGGGGGCUAGCGUUGCUCGGAAUCACUGGGCGUAAAGGGUGCGUAGGCGGGUCUUUAAGUCAGGGGUGAAAUCCUGGAGCUCAACUCCAGAACUGCCUUUGAUACUGAAGAUCUUGAGUCCGGGAGAGGUGAGUGGAACUGCGAGUGUAGAGGUGAAAUUCGUAGAUAUUGUCCAAGAACACCAGUGGCGAAGGCGGCUCACUGGCCCGGUACUGACGCUGAGGCACGAAAGCGUGGGGAGCAAACAGGG
Molecule: ribosomal RNA, 255 nt
Filed under: uncultured bacterium
Lineage: Bacteria
Description: partial 16S ribosomal RNA
Rfam family: Bacterial small subunit ribosomal RNA
Source: RNAcentral